This 292-nucleotide ribosomal RNA is filed under the name uncultured bacterium. RNAcentral's name for it is "partial 16S ribosomal RNA". It matches the Rfam family "Bacterial small subunit ribosomal RNA", at positions 505 to 796 of the family's 1533-position model. The record is from RNAcentral.
GUGCCAGCAGCCGCGGUAAGACGUAGGGCGCGAGCGUUGUCCGGAUUUAUUGGGCGUAAAGAGCUCGUAGGCGGCUUGUUGCGUCAGCUGUGAAAACCCGCAGCUCAACUGUGGGCUUGCAGCUGAUACGGGCAGGCUUGAGUUCGGUAGGGGAGACUGGAAUUCCUGGUGUAGCGGUGAAAUGCGCAGAUAUCAGGAGGAACACCGGUGGCGAAGGCGGGUCUCUGGGCCGAUACUGACGCUGAGGAGCGAAAGCGUGGGGAGCGAACAGGAUUAGAUACCCUCGUAGUCC